Molecule: ribosomal RNA, 484 nt
Filed under: uncultured bacterium
Lineage: Bacteria
Description: partial 16S ribosomal RNA
Rfam family: Bacterial small subunit ribosomal RNA
Source: RNAcentral
GAUGAACGCUGGCGGCGUGCUUAACACAUGCAAGUCGAACGGUGAAGCAGGAGCUUGCUCUUGUGGAUCAGUGGCGAACGGGUGAGUAACACGUGAGCAACCUGCCCCUGACUCUGGGAUAAGCUCUGGAAACGGCGUCUAAUACUGGAUAUGUGAUGUGACCGCAUGGUCUGCAUCUGGAAAGAAUUUCGGUUGGGGAUGGGCUCGCGGCCUAUCAGCUUGUUGGUGAGGUAAUGGCUCACCAAGGCGUCGACGGGUAGCCGACCUGAGAGGGUGACCGGCCACACUGGGACUGCGACACGGCCCAGACUGCUCCGGGAGGCAGCAGUGGGGAAGAUUGCACAAUGGGGGGGAGCCUGAUGCAGCACCGCCGCGUGAGGAAUGACGGGUUUCGGGUUGUAAACCUCUUUUAGCAGGGAAGAAGCGAAAGUGACGGUACCUGCAGAAAAAGCACCGGCUAACUACGUGCCAGCAGCCGCCGUAA